This 336-nucleotide ribosomal RNA is filed under the name uncultured bacterium. Its description in RNAcentral is "partial 16S ribosomal RNA". It matches the Rfam family "Bacterial small subunit ribosomal RNA", at positions 338 to 691 of the family's 1533-position model. The record is from RNAcentral.
CCUACGGGAGGCAGCAGUGGGGGAUAUUGCACAAUGGGGGCAACCCUGAUGCAGCGACGCCGCGUGAGCGACGGAGUACCUCGGUAUGUAAAGCUCUGUCAGCAGGGAAGAGAAUGACGGUACCUGACCAAGAAGCCCCGGCUCAAUACGUGCCAGCAGCCGCGGUAAUACGUAUGGGGCAAGCGUUAUCCGGAUUUACUGGGUGUAAAGGGAGCGUAGGCGGCAGGGCUAGCCUGAUGUGAAAGCCCGGGGCUCAACACCGGGAUUGGAUUGGAAACUGCGCAGCUCGAGUGCCGGAGGGGCAGGCGGGAAUACGAGAGUAGCGGUGGAAUGCGU